Molecule: ribosomal RNA, 467 nt
Filed under: uncultured ciliate
Lineage: Eukaryota; Ciliophora
Description: SSU rRNA
Rfam family: Eukaryotic small subunit ribosomal RNA
Source: RNAcentral
AUUUGUCUGGUUAAUUCCGAUAACGAACGAGACCUUAACCUGCUAACUAGAUACUUUUAUUCUAUAAUUGUCAUCUUCUUAGAGGGACUAUGUAAAUCAAUUACAUGGAAGUUUGAGGCAAUAACAGGUCAGUGAUGCCCUUAUAUGUCCUGGGCUGCACGCGUGCUACACUGAUGCAUACAACAAGUGCCUAGCCAGAUAUGGUAUGGCAAUCUCGAAUAUGCAUCGUGAUGGGGAUAGAUCUUUGCAAUUAUAGAUCUUGAACGAGGAAUUCCUAGUAAGUGCAAGUCAUCAUCUUGCAUUGAUUAUGUCCCUGCCCUUUGUACACACCGCCCGUCGCUCCUACCGAUACCGGGUGAUCCGGUGAACCUUUUGGACUCCGUAUGGGGAAAGAUAAGUAAACCAUAUCACCUAGAGGAAGGAGAAGUCGUAACAAGGUUUCCGUAGGUGAACCUGCRGAAGGAUCA